Molecule: ribosomal RNA, 253 nt
Filed under: uncultured bacterium
Lineage: Bacteria
Description: partial 16S ribosomal RNA
Rfam family: Bacterial small subunit ribosomal RNA
Source: RNAcentral
UACGAAGGGGGCUAGCGUUGCUCGGAAUCACUGGGCGUAAAGGGUGCGUAGGCGGGUCUUUAAGUCAGGGGUGAAAUCCUGGAGCUCAACUCCAGAACUGCCUUUGAUACUGAAGAUCUUGAGUUCGGGAGAGGUGAGUGGAACUGCGAGUGUAGAGGUGAAAUUCGUAGAUAUUCGCAAGAACACCAGUGGCGAAGGCGGCUCACUGGCCCGAUACUGACGCUGAGGCGCGAAAGCUAGGGGAGCAAACAGG